This 1610-nucleotide long non-coding RNA is filed under the name Hordeum vulgare. RNAcentral's name for it is "long non-coding RNA (HVUL_LNC009468)". Lineage: Eukaryota; Viridiplantae; Streptophyta; Magnoliopsida; Poales; Poaceae. The record is from RNAcentral.
UCCUUAUUGUCCUCCUCCAACUUUUGAAAAGCACAUUCACCUGGUAGUAGAAUGAUCAUGCGUGAGAAACUAUACAAUAGCAAAAAAUGUUCAAACAAUGCAAAAAAGUAACACUAUGUUCAUGUACAUAAUUGCACUACAUACAACUAGCUACAGGUACACAAUUAAUAGCAUAAAAAUAGAUACAACAUAAAAAAUACUAAAAUACCAAACACGACUAGUAGCUCUAUAGAUUUGCACAACAUAUACAACUAGCUUCAGAUACACUAUAUUCAUGUACAUACAUAACAGUUAGGUUUAUUCUAACAAAGAUAUUCAAGUGAUAUUAGAUAAAAAUGAACUAAAAGAGCUAAAAUAAGCAUGCAUUAUGAACAAAUAUCAUCUAACUAAUUAUAAAAAUCAUGGUACCGAGAGCUAACAAAUAUGUCAAACCAUUCUUAAUCGUAAACAUCAUCAAAACAUAAAUCGGAGGAGCAUCAUACAAUCUAUAAGAGAUGGACUCAGGGAUGGUAAGUAAGCAUCAGAUACAAGCAGUGUACAUCAACAAUAUGUAGAGACACAUGAGCUAGGUGUUAUCUUCAACAACCUAUAGGACCGACGAUCAGAAGGUUGAGCCCAAUUGUUUCCUGAAGAACACGAAGAUCCAUUGGGCAUUCCAAGCUUGGCCUGAUUUCUUCUUAUUCUCAAAAGUCUCCCAACCACCCCUGCAUGCAGGACAUUAUUAUGCACGAUUAUUAGAUAGAGUGAAGUAAACAUAUUUACACAUAGUUGACAGGAAGGAGGUACAUGAAUUAUAUAUGUUGCGGACUUACAAGCUGAAAAUGUUAUAAACAUUCAGUAGAGUAAACAUGACGAGCCUUGUGUUGGAUAGUAUUAUGCACUCUAAUGAUAAAAGUAAGUCCUAUGAACAAGGGGCCCGAGACUACCAAACUCAAAACAAGUAAUUGAGUACACAAAUCUGCCCUCUUAUGACUUAUGAACACAGCUUGAGCUAUUUGGAGUCAUGUACAUCCUCACUUUUACAUAUAAGGUAAAUGAAUGCCAUUUGUUUAAAAAAGGGGUAAAGGGUAGCACAGAAAAGAGAAUUUGGCCUCAAGUGCAUGAAAAUGACAGAACAAAGUUUGAGUGGUAUUUAAGUAAAAUAACAUAGUUUAGUGGUAUAGAGCUUAAAUCUGUAUAUUUCGGCAUGACAGCAGACCAAUAACUUUCCUAUAUAUAAAGCUUGGCAUGGAACCAAUAACUGUUCAUAUAAUUAAAGCUUGACAUAGAACCAACAGCCGUCCAUAUAAUAAAAGCUUGACAUAGAACCAACAUCCGUCCAUAUGAUUAAAGCUUGACAUAGAACCAACAAUUAUUUCUAGAUACAAAGAUCGACAUAGAACCAACAAUUCUUCUUAUAUAAGGAUUCAGAAAAUGGAACUUGAUUUACUGUAUUUAAUGCUGACUGCGCGUGCUUAACUUAGCUCGAGAGGAGUGGCAGCUAAAUUCAGAACCAUGACAGUAACAACAUUGCAGAGAGCUCCUAACACGGCCACAUCAAGUCCACCGAUAAUAACAGUGGUCCCUAUACAAUCAUCGAAGGCCAAGUUUACAUCAAGUUCGGCGGCGGC